GGGAGGGGGCAGGACCGGGUGUACGCCUGGCGGUUUGAUUGGCUGGGCUUACCAUGGCUGAGAGGGGCGGUGAGCACUGAUUGGUCAGCUGAGCCGUCACUCGCGCGGUGGCGGCGCGCUGGGCGGGCGGCCCUCAGCGGCGCUGGCCGGCGCGGUUUGGUGCCCGCCGCCGUCCCGCCGCCUUCGCCCCGCCCGGGACGGGUCCCGCCGAGGGCGGUGUGCCCGCGGGAGCCGCACGCUGCCCUUCUGACCCGCUCCGCUCCGAGCCACCGUGGAGCAGUGGGGGUGUCUUCAUGUCGUAACCCUCCGUCUUGGUCACAUGGCCGCCCCGCCUCACCCUGCACAUGUCCCAGAGGGUCGCUGCUGCCUGGAGCUCUUCCUGAACAUCUCUGUAGUUACAUUGACAGACUGAUUGUGGUGCAAGCCGAGACAUCCAGCAACUGUAUCCUGCAUUUGUGAGCUGCUGCCAGCCUCUCGAGCAGGGCAUAUGUUCUUCUGUGCUUUAAAGGCAUCCUUGGCUGCAGAGCUGUCUUGGUUUCCUGAUAAUUCUCUUUCAGUUCGUGUCGAAUUUAGUCACAAAUUGCACACAUACGUUUCAAUCCAUUAGCACUUAAGAUUCUAGUUCUGCCUCUCACAUUUUCAUAUCAUUUUCUUGUGCAUGGUUUGUGUCAAACAUACAGUUAUGUUCAAUCUGAGAAGAGCAAUAAUUAAUACAUUGCUUUCAACAGAGUGUGUGAUGGAGGACCAACCCAAACCACUCAAUGUGGUGACUGCAGAACCACACAACAUCAUUUUGGCAAAUGCAACCUUGCAGAGUUACAAAGGGAUUUGUUUUGCUGAUCUAACACAAAAUUGGUGACACAUACAGAUAUUAUAUAUGCAUUCCAAAGUUAAUUCCUUGCAAUACAUUGUCUUUUCUGCAUUUUGUUGUUUACAGAAGACUUGAUUCAAAGCCCUAAAUCAAGGCAGUGGAAGAUGCCCACCAUGUGCAGAGUACUUCAGGUCAGGCCUAAACAGAUAUUGAGGCAAAGUUCUCCAGCUCAUGCUCUUACAACAGCAAUGGAACAAAACUGCACUGCAGAAUGUUUGAGUGCAGAUAUUGCUCAAACAAUUUCAGCAAAAAACUUACUUUGCAGAAUUCUGAGUUACAUGUUAUAUACCCUGAGCAAUCACUUCCCAAAGUUAUGAAUGAAAGAGAGAAAGCAAGCUGAAAUGUCACUUUGUCAUUAUUUACUCGAAAGAGCACAUUCCUUUCUCAUGUAAAAAGUGCAUUCAGGUCAAUUCCUUUCAAGAUCAUGGCUCUUUCCUAUAACAGCAAGUUUCUGGCUGUUGUCUGCCUAUGUACAUAAGCAAUGGAAGCUGCAUUUUGUGAAAAUAUUUUGCAUAGCAAGAGUUUAAUUUUCAAACCAGUGUGUGGGGAUUUAUCUGUACUCUGUUGAUGCAUUUUGGGGAGGAUAUGUUAUCUCACAGCUUGUCACAUCCUGCUAGUAAAACACCACUAUCUUAAACCGUUUUGUACAAGUUAAACCUCUUGUGUAAAUAUAGAAGCAAACAAAAGCUUCUCCUUUACCUAACAGACCCGUGGUAUGUGUUUGUGCCAACAACCUUAUUACUCAUGCAAGACCUGCCAACCAAGCUGUGAUUAAUUUAUGUGAGAAAACUGUAUAUUAAAAAUGUGAAUGGGAUUUUAAGCCUCUCACUGAAAUACAAGCAAACUGCUUUGUGGCCAAGAAGACAUACUUAAACACUGCAUUAAAGCAAUUCAAGAUAAAUUACUCUCACCACAGGUGGAGUUUAGCUGUGAAAAGAGGAGACAAGGCACUUAAUCUUAACGCUAAGCUUGAUCAAGCAGAACAUAUUUUUAUUAGCAGAUACAUUUUCUAAAAAGUAAGGUCCUGAUUCAGCAAAGCCCUUAGAACAUACAGACGUUACUCAGGGAACAACCUUAAAGUUGGCCAAAUCCCACGUGGGAAGUGCCACUGCUCAGCAUUACUGGCAGAGAAGUUUGUGCUGGAGCAUGGCUCUGGGAUCACUGCUAAUAUAUCCACAGUGCACUGUAUGGACAUAAAUACUGAACAUGAGUGUUCAGCAAAAUCCUAAGCUAUGGGGACAGAAGAAUUUUGCUGCUUGCGAUGGGGACUCACUUUCUCUUUAAGUUGCUGCAAUACCUGGUGCCAUAGGGCUCCACAGUGUUAGAAUACUGUGAAAUAGUAAUUUGUGGUAAUAAGCUUGUUGCAGCUAUCAUCCAGUCUGGUUGUAUUUCUUUUAUAAAUAUAUGUUAUAGACAAUGCUCAGAAAUGCACUGAAACUGAAAGAUAAUGGAAACAUCAGUACUUACAGUUUCUAGACCAUGUUUCACCAAGUCCUUUUUUUCUCCAGCCAGCCUUUGACAAAAUUCUUUGCCUUUAAUACACAUCAAAGUACCACAAGGUUGAACUUCUAGAUACCCACUGCAAACAGCCAAGUGAUUUUGUGAAGUCAACUUGUGCAUUCACUCAUGGAACACUGUUAUUUUCUGCUUCUGUCCAAAAGGAGAAGCAUAAAUGCUGGCAAGUAGCAUAAACUGGGAAAACAAAACCAUAAUAAACCAGGUAAAAAAUAUUUUGAAGCGUAAUUUUUUUUUUCCCCAAACACAUCAAGAACAGAUCUUCCAGAGAAUGUGAGGAACUAGGAGGCAACAGAGAUGUAACAGACGCAUUCAGGGAAAACAGGAGAAAACCAAGUACUUUUUUUCUGUCACUGUUCUUUUUGGCAAAUUUUGAGGUGAUUGCCACAACAAAACCUUUUUUAGGGGCAUGGUCAAAAAAAAAAAACAUAUUUGAAAAACUGAGUGUCUGUGGUUUUAGAGCCAGUCAGUAAACUGUACAGUACCUGAGUGCCAGGACAAUGUAUUUUUCACCCCAGGGUUCAAAAGGAGCUUGGAUCUGAAAUCGCCAAACUGUUAACUGUGCUUUGUAAUUUAUGGUUUGGAGUGAACCUAGUUCUGGAAGAAUAGAAAUUUUUAGACAAGCCUUCAGAAAAAACAGAAAUGACAACCCAGUCAGUCUAACACAUGUCUCAUGACCAUGCAAUGAGAAGAAGCAGAAACUGCAAACCUGGUAGUGCUUUAAAAAUGUCAGCAAAGUCAGCAAAUAUUGAUAAAGAGGAGCUGACUUAUGUAGACUUUGUAUAAACACUGGGACUCUGGAGUUUUCAGCUUUAAUCAACUCCCUGUUGGAAGAAGACCAAGUUUGUACCAACUUCUGCUAUCUUCUUCCCCCUCUCCUCCUCCCAGCUUGCUUUUACUCUCAGUCUAAUUGCCACAGAAAGGAAAUCCAAAUGUGUGGCACCUGGGGAGACAGAGCAUGUUUGGGGUGUCUCCCCAGUCUGACCCAUAAAGGAGCCAUGGACUUGAUUGAAGAACAUUUAACAUGCAGCCUGGAUGAAGCAAUCACAUAUGAAGAUUUCCCCAAACAGUUUUACAAAGCCCAGGAGGCGAGCUCUCUUUGUGAUUGGUAACUGCUUCAAAGGGAAGAUGGAUGGGUAAAUGAUCACAAAGGGAAUAGCCAGAUUCCAAAUGUACCUGAGCUUUACAACACGUUCACAAGUGGUAAGUGAAACAGGAUUGGACAGUGUUUUCUAGGGAUUCACAGUUAUUUAGGAAAAUCAAAACCAAAAUUGCUGACACAAAGUAGCCAAAAGACAAAAACAUCAUGAUAAAAUAGCAGCUAAAUGCAAUGAUCACAUAUCAGUGAAAGGAAAACAAAAAAAAUCUACUUGUGCAACAUAGUAGGCUCUAAUUGGUUCAUAUCAGUCAGCAAAGGUAUUUUGAAGCCACUAUGGAUACUUUUCUGAAAUGUUAGUGCUAAGAGAGGCAGUUUGGACUGAUAAGGACAGAAGAGAAUGAAAAAGCAACAAUUAAAAAAAGGGUACUGUAUAAAUCUUCAGGAAUUGUGUUCUUUCCCUUAAUACUAGCCAAAAUUCUGCUUAUAGCAUCUUGACACAAGGUACAUCUUAAGCAUUGGAAAACCAUGAAAAAACAGGAAAAAAAGUGACCAGAUUGAUCAGAAAGACAGAAUACCUUCUAAGACAGAUCAGUUACUCUGGAACUACUUAGAAAAUAGAUGAGAAAUGGCAGAUGGAAUACAGUAUCAAAAAUCAAGUCUGACAUGAGAAAGGUGAACAGGGAACAAUUACUCAUUUCUUAAGAGAACAACGAUGAAUCUAAUAAUAUUUUUUCAAAUGGAAGUGUAAAAAAAGCAAAAGGAAGUACUAUUUAAACAACAUCUGCUUAAUUUGGAUAAUUCAUCAUCAUGAGAUCUUUUAGAUGCCAAAAAUACUUAGGGCAGGAAGAAGUUCCUAGACAAAUUUACAGAAAAACAGGCUGCUUUGCAGAGAAAUGGAGAGAGCCUCCAAUUCCAUCCUUAGAUAGUCAGAGAUUGAACUGGUAAAUAGGAGGAGAAAUUAAGCUGUAACUGUUCUCUCCUUAUAUUUCCACUGUAGGGAACUGCAGGGCAUCAGGUUACCUGGACUUUUGGUGUGACUUGGGUCAGCCUUUCUUAUAUUGCAGCUGCAGCAGAAAGAUGUUCCCACCUCAGACCUUUUGCUUCCUGUCAUAUCCUGUGGGGACUGAACCUGAGAAAUCCCAGUAAAACAUUCAAAUCAAUGAACAUUCAAUCUUAUGAACGUUUUUAGAACUUUAAAAGGGAUUUAAUCAACAUUUUAAGAUGAGAUCCAGUGACCUUAAUUUAGCAAACCAGUUGCAUAGAUACAAAGCCAAAAACGAUGGUUUAGUUAGACCUUCAUUUUGACUUAGCCCAAAGAGCCUCACCCAGUAAUUUCUGCAACAGGCCUAUAACUUUGGUUUGAGCUGUGUUGCAUGUUUUAAAAUAGGGGUUUUUUUCUUUUUCUAAGUCCAUCAUUAAGCAACCCAGCAGUAACAACUGCUACUAAAGCCUUCUGGAUCUGGAAUGCUUCAGAAAAUUUCUGGAGUAUUUGGGAGGAGAGAAAGAUACAUGCAAAAAGCAGAGUAUAAGUGGGCUCCAUUUGUGUGGAAUUGGUUCAAUUCUACUAUUGAUUUCCUUCUACAGUGAUAAAAAAAUUGAAGUAAUAUUUGAAAUGAGCAGCUGACACAUACAGGUUUCACCUCCACAGGCUUUAUUUUAUUUUUUCCUUACUUUACGUUGACCUGUAUUUGACUGAAUUGUAGGUAACUAUCCAGAAAGUAGAGAGUUUUCUUUCAAAGCUCAAAGUCAGAUAGCAGUGGUUCUAAUAAGAACGAUGCAAGUGCACAGGUUGGUUUGUACUCAAUGCUAUUUACGUUUCUGUUGCUAAGAUCCCUGAGUGAAGGCCUUUAUUCUCUUAAGGUGACAGCAAUUUGUGUGGAUAAGCAGUGCACACUGUACAUCGGUAAAGAAGUUCCUUGAGCUGGUUUUGCUUCCUUGAUCUACAAUACAAACACUGGAAUAAGCUCGCACUUUCAGAUGGGCAGUUUCAUAUUUCAGGCCUGUUUCCAGUAGAACAUCAGGAAAUCUUUUGAAAAAUACCAGUACAUAUAGAAGAAGAGAGGAGAAAAUGGUCUCUCUGUCAUCCUUUCCCAUUUUUUUCCCUGAGGAUUAAAAAAAAAUACUGUAGUGCUUGGUUACUUCAGUCUUUCCCAGGCUUCUUUAUAAAAGUUUGCACAGAACUCCUCACUCAUGUGAGAGCCAGUGGAGACCGUGUGCCACCUCUCCCUGCGCCGCAGUUUCACAGUUGUGGUUUUGAGGUCAGCAUUGUCUGCCAACAGCCAGCAGCAGUGCAGGGCUUUUCCCUGCUGGUAAAACAUACCCAGAAAUGCACCCCCAGUCCUGAAAAUGCCUUUCUCCACUGCAGUAUAACAUUACAUGUUUCCAAAGUAAGUGUUCUCUACAAAUAUUUCUGAAGAGAAAAAUAAAAGAGCAUUCAUUGACUGUUGUGGUUUGCUCUGACCUUCAAUUACAGCGCGGUACAGAAAACUGCCAAAUUUGGCCUGUCCUGAGAAAAAGACAAAGAUGGCAGCAACUCAACUAAACAAAACAAAUGUGCAAAAUACUUCCUGGUACACUCACAUUCUGGCCUCCUGCACAAAAAAUUGCCAAGACAGAAUUUUUGACUGGUUAAGUUCUUCCAGGAACUGUACAACCUGUUCUGCAUUUUUGAUUCAUAGAAUGUUCACUUUCUGGCUUCCUGAAGUGGUUCCAAAGUUCAUGCCAUAAGCAGAAAAAAUUUUAGAAAGCUUGGGCUAAUCAUGUAGAAAUUAGCCAGACUAAUUAUAAUGAAAAACAUCAACAUUUACAGAAAAUUCAGCUCACUGCAUUUUCUAAUCAGAUCAAGAAUGCAAAAUGUAGUAUGUGUUCCUUUUUAUUUAAAAAUAUUUGUAUCCUAAAAAUAGUAUGGAUGGAGUGUACCAGAUAACAUCUGAAACUUUCAGCAGAGACAAGAGGACCGGAGAGCCAGUGGGAGUUUUCAAACUAUUUGCCAUUUGGUGAAUAGAACCCUGGAGAGAUGCUUUCACAGACACAAAAGUGGCUUCUGUGGUACCAAGGAACAGAAGAAGAGAGAUGCCAGUAAAGGGUGAGUUGGCAGCCCUGUGGACUGACAACACUGAAACCAGCAAAGCACAGAGUUGCUCUUACACCUCUACUGUACCUGCACCUUCCUUACUCAACCCCAAAGGGACCACGCACAGAGGACAGGAUCUCUCAGUGCUUCAUGGCUCUGGUGACACCACCACCAAGGCUAGCAUUUAUUUGCACAUUGAAUGUGGCUUUUAUCUGAUCUAUAGCAGGUCUGUAAUGUUACCCACAGCUCAUAAAAUUUGCUUGUUAUCUGAGAAUCUUUGCUUUCAUGUACUAGUGUUUCCAACAGCCAUGGUACUGAUGAGGAGUGAUAAUGACAAUGUUUCUAGUCAUAAUUGUUGUGGGGACUUGGAAAUGUGAAAGUUAAAAAAGUCAGAAAAAAAACCCCAAAAACCAACAGAAUGAAAAUUAAAAUGCACCUAUAUUAUUUCACAAUCUUGGAAACAAGCUCUUUUUUGAAUGCUUGCCUUUACCAGUAAUGUUGUUACUGAUACUCCCAAGUCACCUUUAAGACAGUAGAAAGUGUGCUUGUAUUCCUCUCUGUGUAAAAAGGUAAAAAUCUGGAGCUCUUUCUCUGUAGCUCCAGGCUCAGCAGUCCCUGGACUGCAGUGAGAGGGUUUUUUGGGGGAUGUCUGUUGCUUUUUCUUAAGUACACAAAAACCAGGAUAUUUACCCUCAUUGCAGUGAACUUGUUCUGGGAUCAGUGAGCAGGACCGCAGCAGUUCAGAGAAGUAGGAAAACAUCAGGUAAUGAGAGGCUGGACUGAGAUUAGGACAGAGCUGAAAGGCACUUUAGGAGAUGACCUGGGAGGCAUUUUGGAAGACAACUGAGCAGUCCCA
Molecule: long non-coding RNA, 7414 nt
Organism: Passer domesticus (house sparrow)
Lineage: Eukaryota; Metazoa; Chordata; Aves; Passeriformes; Passeridae
Exons: 2
Source: RefSeq, a predicted model, not a curated record